UUCAGUAGUUUGUGGGUGGAGUUUCUUAAAAGUGAGCUCACUGAGCUGAGAAUGGAACUGAGAAGUAACAAGAACUCCUAAAGUCAAGAAAGAGGAGAAUAUGUAGAUGAACAGAGAGAAGAUGAACAAAAAUAAUUUAUCGAGGUAGAUGCUAAGCUCUUUUGUAUCAUGAGGGAUUGAACAAGCUAAGCUGUUUCUGCUUCAGUGAAUUACUUAUUGUUUGAUGUAGCAGAGCAAGUCACUUGAUCUAAUUAAAUUAAAAUGUAGGUUCUCUCAUCAUAAUACUAUUCCUCAAUCCUGUUUUGUUGUCAAAUUUUCUUUUGAAACUCAUUCAUCAACAUUUUUAAACUGAUAAGCUUC
This is a long non-coding RNA of Amphimedon queenslandica, 360 nucleotides long. RefSeq lists it as uncharacterized. The record is from RefSeq and is a predicted model, not a curated record. The transcript has 3 exons. NCBI's taxonomy places the organism in Eukaryota, Metazoa, Porifera, Demospongiae, Haplosclerida, Niphatidae.